CAGCCGCCGCGGUAAUGCGAAGGGUGCAAGCGUUACUCGGAAUUACUGGGCGUAAAGCGCGCGUAGGCGGUGAGUUAAGUCUGCUGUGAAAUCCCCGGGCUCAACCUGGGAAUGGCAGUGGAUACUGGCUCGCUAGAGUGUGUCAGAGGAUGGUGGAAUUCCCGGUGUAGCGGUGAAAUGCGUAGAGAUCGGGAGGAACAUCAGUGGCGAAGGCGGCCAUCUGGGACAACACUGACGCUGAGGCACGAAAGCGUGGGGAGCAAACAGGAUUAGAUACCCCCGUAGUCCCUGUCUCUUAUAC
This 301-nucleotide ribosomal RNA is filed under the name uncultured bacterium. RNAcentral's name for it is "partial 16S ribosomal RNA". It matches the Rfam family "Bacterial small subunit ribosomal RNA", at positions 509 to 807 of the family's 1533-position model. The record is from RNAcentral.